RNAcentral lists this ribosomal RNA (253 nucleotides) under uncultured bacterium. RNAcentral's name for it is "partial 16S ribosomal RNA". It matches the Rfam family "Bacterial small subunit ribosomal RNA", at positions 524 to 776 of the family's 1533-position model. The record is from RNAcentral.
UACGGAGGGAGCUAGCGUUGUUCGGAUAUACUGGGCGUAAAGCGCACGUAGGCGGCGCCGUAAGUCAGGGGUGAAAUCCCGGAGCUCAACUCCGGAACUGCCCUUGAAACUGCAGUGCUAGAAUUCUGGAGAGGCGAGUGGAAUUCCGAGUGUAGAGGUGAAAUUCGUAGAUAUUCGGAAGAACACCAGUGGCGAAGGCGACUCGCUGGACAGACAUUGACGCUGAGGUGCGAAAGCCAGGGGAGCAAACGGG